Molecule: ribosomal RNA, 503 nt
Filed under: uncultured bacterium
Lineage: Bacteria
Description: partial 16S ribosomal RNA
Rfam family: Bacterial small subunit ribosomal RNA
Source: RNAcentral
AUUGAACGCUGGCGGCAGGCUUAACACAUGCAAGUCGAGCGGGGUGAUGGUGCUUGCACUAUCACUUAGCGGCGGACGGGUGAGUAAUGCUUAGGAAUCUGCCUAUUAGUGGGGGACAACAUCUCGAAAGGGAUGCUAAUACCGCAUACGUCCUACGGGAGAAAGCAGGGGAUCACUUGUGACCUUGCGCUAAUAGAUGAGCCUAAGUCGGAUUAGCUAGUUGGUGGGGUAAAGGCCUACCAAGGCGACGAUCUGUAGCAGGUCUGGGAGGAUGGUCCGCCACACUGGGACUGAGACACGGCCCAGACUCCUACGGGAGGCAGCAGUGGGGAAUAUUGGACAAUGGGGGGAACCCUGAUCCAGCCAUGCCGCGUGUGUGAAGAAGGCCUUAUGGUUGUAAAGCACUUUAAGCGAGGAGGAGGCUCUUUUGGUUAAUACCCAAGAUGAGUGGGCGUUACUCGCAGAAUAAGCACCGGCUAACUCUGUGCCAGCAGCCGCGGUAA